Molecule: ribosomal RNA, 2902 nt
Filed under: Shigella dysenteriae
Lineage: Bacteria; Pseudomonadati; Pseudomonadota; Gammaproteobacteria; Enterobacterales; Enterobacteriaceae
Description: bacterial LSU rRNA
Rfam family: Bacterial large subunit ribosomal RNA
Source: RNAcentral
UUAAGUGACUAAGCGUACACGGUGGAUGCCCUGGCAGUCAGAGGCGAUGAAGGACGUGCUAAUCUGCGAUAAGCGUCGGUAAGGUGAUAUGAACCGUUAUAACCGGCGAUUUCCGAAUGGGGAAACCCAGUGUGUUUCGACACACUAUCAUUAACUGAAUCCAUAGGUUAAUGAGGCGAACCGGGGGAACUGAAACAUCUAAGUACCCCGAGGAAAAGAAAUCAACCGAGAUUCCCCCAGUAGCGGCGAGCGAACGGGGAGCAGCCCAGAGCCUGAAUCAGUGUGUGUGUUAGUGGAAGCGUCUGGAAAGGCGCGCGAUACAGGGUGACAGCCCCGUACACAAAAAUGCACAUGCUGUGAGCUCGAUGAGUAGGGCGGGACACGUGGUAUCCUGUCUGAAUAUGGGGGGACCAUCCUCCAAGGCUAAAUACUCCUGACUGACCGAUAGUGAACCAGUACCGUGAGGGAAAGGCGAAAAGAACCCCGGCGAGGGGAGUGAAAAAGAACCUGAAACCGUGUACGUACAAGCAGUGGGAGCACGCUUAGGCGUGUGACUGCGUACCUUUUGUAUAAUGGGUCAGCGACUUAUAUUCUGUAGCAAGGUUAACCGAAUAGGGGAGCCGAAGGGAAACCGAGUCUUAACUGGGCGUUAAGUUGCAGGGUAUAGACCCGAAACCCGGUGAUCUAGCCAUGGGCAGGUUGAAGGUUGGGUAACACUAACUGGAGGACCGAACCGACUAAUGUUGAAAAAUUAGCGGAUGACUUGUGGCUGGGGGUGAAAGGCCAAUCAAACCGGGAGAUAGCUGGUUCUCCCCGAAAGCUAUUUAGGUAGCGCCUCGUGAAUUCAUCUCCGGGGGUAGAGCACUGUUUCGGCAAGGGGGUCAUCCCGACUUACCAACCCGAUGCAAACUGCGAAUACCGGAGAAUGUUAUCACGGGAGACACACGGCGGGUGCUAACGUCCGUCGUGAAGAGGGAAACAACCCAGACCGCCAGCUAAGGUCCCAAAGUCAUGGUUAAGUGGGAAACGAUGUGGGAAGGCCCAGACAGCCAGGAUGUUGGCUUAGAAGCAGCCAUCAUUUAAAGAAAGCGUAAUAGCUCACUGGUCGAGUCGGCCUGCGCGGAAGAUGUAACGGGGCUAAACCAUGCACCGAAGCUGCGGCAGUGACGCUGAUGCGUUGUUGGGUAGGGGAGCGUUCUGUAAGCCUGUGAAGGUGUACUGUGAGGUAUGCUGGAGGUAUCAGAAGUGCGAAUGCUGACAUAAGUAACGAUAAAGCGGGUGAAAAGCCCGCUCGCCGGAAGACCAAGGGUUCCUGUCCAACGUUAAUCGGGGCAGGGUGAGUCGACCCCUAAGGCGAGGCCGAAAGGCGUAGUCGAUGGGAAACAGGUUAAUAUUCCUGUACUUGGUGUUGCUGCGAAGGGGGGACGGAGAAGGCUAUGUUGGCCGGGCGACGGUCGUCCCGGUUUAAGCGUGUAGGCUGGUUUUCCAGGCAAAUCCGGAAAAUCAAGGCUGAGGCGUGAUGACGAGGCACUACGGUGCUGAAGCAACAAAUGCCCUGCUUCCAGGAAAAGCCUCUAAGCAUCAGGUAACAUCAAAUCGUACCCCAAACCGACACAGGUGGUCAGGUAGAGAAUACCAAGGCGCUUGAGAGAACUCGGGUGAAGGAACUAGGCAAAAUGGUGCCGUAACUUCGGGAGAAGGCACGCUGAUAUGUAGGUGAAGCGACUUGCUCGUGGAGCUGAAAUCAGUCGAAGAUACCAGCUGGCUGCAACUGUUUAUUAAAAACACAGCACUGUGCAAACACGAAAGUGGACGUAUACGGUGUGACGCCUGCCCGGUGCCGGAAGGUUAAUUGAUGGGGUCAGCGCAAGCGAAGCUCUUGAUCGAAGCCCCGGUAAACGGCGGCCGUAACUAUAACGGUCCUAAGGUAGCGAAAUUCCUUGUCGGGUAAGUUCCGACCUGCACGAAUGGCGUAAUGAUGGCCAGGCUGUCUCCACCCGAGACUCAGUGAAAUUGAACUCGCUGUGAAGAUGCAGUGUACCCGCGGCAAGACGGAAAGACCCCGUGAACCUUUACUAUAGCUUGACACUGAACAUUGAGCCUUGAUGUGUAGGAUAGGUGGGAGGCUUUGAAGUGUGGACGCCAGUCUGCAUGGAGCCGACCUUGAAAUACCACCCUUUAAUGUUUGAUGUUCUAACGUGGACCCGUAAUCCGGGUUGCGGACAGUGUCUGGUGGGUAGUUUGACUGGGGCGGUCUCCUCCUAAAGAGUAACGGAGGAGCACGAAGGUUGGCUAAUCCUGGUCGGACAUCAGGAGGUUAGUGCAAUGGCAUAAGCCAGCUUGACUGCGAGCGUGACGGCGCGAGCAGGUGCGAAAGCAGGUCAUAGUGAUCCGGUGGUUCUGAAUGGAAGGGCCAUCGCUCAACGGAUAAAAGGUACUCCGGGGAUAACAGGCUGAUACCGCCCAAGAGUUCAUAUCGACGGCGGUGUUUGGCACCUCGAUGUCGGCUCAUCACAUCCUGGGGCUGAAGUAGGUCCCAAGGGUAUGGCUGUUCGCCAUUUAAAGUGGUACGCGAGCUGGGUUUAGAACGUCGUGAGACAGUUCGGUCCCUAUCUGCCGUGGGCGCUGGAGAACUGAGGGGGGCUGCUCCUAGUACGAGAGGACCGGAGUGGACGCAUCACUGGUGUUCGGGUUGUCAUGCCAAUGGCACUGCCCGGUAGCUAAAUGCGGAAGAGAUAAGUGCUGAAAGCAUCUAAGCACGAAACUUGCCCCGAGAUGAGUUCUCCCUGACUCCUUGAGAGUCCUGAAGGAACGUUGAAGACGACGACGUUGAUAGGCCGGCUGUGUAAGCGCAGCGAUGCGUUGAGCUAACCGGUACUAAUGAACCGUGAGGCUUAACCUU